This 164-nucleotide ribosomal RNA is filed under the name uncultured bacterium. RNAcentral's name for it is "partial 16S rRNA". It matches the Rfam family "Bacterial small subunit ribosomal RNA", at positions 355 to 511 of the family's 1533-position model. The record is from RNAcentral.
UAGGGAAUCUUCCACAAUGGGCGAAAGCUUGAUGGAGCAACGCCGCGUGUGUGAUGAAGGGUUUCGGCUCGUAAAACACUGUUGUAAGAGAAGAAUGACAUUGAGAGUAACUGUUCAAUGUGUGACGGUAUCUUACCAGAAAGGAACGGCUAAAUACGCGCCAG